This 253-nucleotide ribosomal RNA is filed under the name uncultured bacterium. Its description in RNAcentral is "partial 16S ribosomal RNA". It matches the Rfam family "Bacterial small subunit ribosomal RNA", at positions 524 to 776 of the family's 1533-position model. The record is from RNAcentral.
UACGAAGGGAGCGAGCGUUGUUCGGAAUCACUUGGCUUAAAGCGUGCGUAGGCGGAUAUGUAAGUCAGAAGUGAAAUCCCGGGGCUUAACCCCGGAACUGCUUUUGAGACUGCAUGUCUUGAAUUCGGUAGAGGUUAGUGGAAUAUCCAGUGUAGAGGUGAAAGUCGCAGAUAUUGGAUGGAACACCAGUGGCGAAGGCGUCUAACAGGACCGAUAUUGACGCUGAGGCACGAAAGCGUGGGUAGCAAACAGG